Molecule: long non-coding RNA, 443 nt
Organism: Hemicordylus capensis (graceful crag lizard)
Lineage: Eukaryota; Metazoa; Chordata; Lepidosauria; Squamata; Cordylidae
Exons: 2
Source: RefSeq, a predicted model, not a curated record
UUGUGUCAGCGGCUUCACUUCCCCUCCCCUUUUCUUCGUGCUGCGGCUGUGUGGCUGCAUCCAGGAUCAAUGGACCUGGGCCCUGGCCUGGUAAUGGCCACUGCCUGCUCUCCUUCCAAGGGCAGCAGCUUUUCAGGUGGCAGUUUGCUGGCGUGCAGGGCAGGGGAAGGUCUCUCCGGCAGAGCAGGCUCCAGGUGCCAUGACUCCCUAGCACCUGGGAUUGGUCAAGUCCUGCUUUAGGAUUGCAGAGAACGAAGAGACAGGCAAUCAAACGGGAGUCAGUGAGCUGCCAGAGGAGAGAGGUCUGCCAAAGCUGCUCUCACAUGGAGAGGGUUGAAGAGCAUUUUGUGUGCCUCUUUUCUUGCGCAGAAAAAGCACUGCAGCUUUAAUUGUUUGUUUGUAUACAGAUUUUUAUGACAUUAAAGAGAGUUGAUUAGGCUGAA